This 253-nucleotide ribosomal RNA is filed under the name uncultured bacterium. RNAcentral describes it as "partial 16S ribosomal RNA". It matches the Rfam family "Bacterial small subunit ribosomal RNA", at positions 524 to 776 of the family's 1533-position model. The record is from RNAcentral.
UACGUAGGGGGCAAGCGUUGUCCGGAUUUAUUGGGCGUAAAGCGCGUGUAGGCGGCCUGACAAGUCUGCUGUGAAAACUCGAGGCUCAACCUCGAGAUGUCGGCGGAAACUGUCUGGCUAGAGUCCGGAAGAGGAGAGUGGAAUUCCUGGUGUAGCGGUGAAAUGCGCAGAUAUCAGGAAGAACACCUAUGGCGAAGGCGGCUACCUGGACCGGUUCUGACGCUGAGGCGCGAAAGCGUGGGUAGCAAACAGG